GCCGCUGCUUUAAAAUGGCGGCACCUCCUGCUGCUUCAGUGCGCAUGAUGGUGACGUCAGUCAUCUUCCUGUGGAUGCCCGGAAGCGACGCCGUCCGUGAUGGCGGCGGGGAGGAGGGCGCUGCCGAGCGGCCGGACCCUGCUCUGCCGGGGAUGACCCGCCGCCCCCCGCCCUGAUGGCGUCGGGCGCCACGAGCCGCUCCGAGGACGAGGAGUCUCUGGCGGGACAGAAGCGGGGCUCAGCGCCCGCCGCGGGCACCGUCCCCAAGCGCCGCAGCUCCUCCCGGUUCAUCAAGCGGAAGAAGUUCGACGAUGAGCUGGUGGAGAGCAGCCUGGCCAAGCCCUCCAGCCGCGCCAAGGGCGCCGGGGGCGCCGAGCCCGCGCGCGGCUCGGGGAGCGAGCCCUCCUCGGGCGAGAAGAAGAAGGUCGCCAAGGCGGUGGCCGCCCCCGCGGCACCCAGCCCCGCGCCCCCCCACCCCGGCCUGGCCAAGCGCGUGAAGAAGAGCAAGCAGCCCCCCCCGGUCACCAAGGACUUGGGGCGCUGGAAGCCGGCGGACGACCUGCUGCUCAUCAACGCCGUGCUGCAGACCAACGACUUGACCUCGGUGCACCUGGGGGUGAAGUUCAGCUGCCGCUUCAACCUGCGGGAGAUCCAGGAGCGCUGGUACGCGCUGCUCUACGACCCCGUCAUCUCCAAGCUGGCGUGCCAGGCCAUGCGGCAGCUGCACCCCGAGGCCAUCGCCGCCAUCCAGAGCAAAGUGCUCUUCAGCAAAGCCGAGGAGCAGCUGCUCACUAAGGUGGGAUCGAGCAGCCAGCCCACGCUCGACACCUUCCAGGAGCUGCUGCACAAGCACCCCGACGUCUUCUACCCGUCGCGCACGGCCAAGGCGCUGCAGCUGCACUGGCAGCUCAUGAAGCAGUAUUACCUGCUGGACGACCAGACCGUGCAGCCGCUGCCCAAGGGCGACCAGGUGCUGAACUUCUCGGACGCCGAGGACGCGCUCGAUGACAGCAAACUCAAGGACGUGCGGGACGAGGUGCUGGAGCACGCCCCCCUUGUCCCCCCCAGAGCUGACGGUGGCCGACAGGCGCCAGAAACGGGAGAUCCGGCAGCUGGAGCAGGAGCUGCACAAGUGGCAGGUGCUGGUCGACAGCAUCACCGGCAUGAGCUCCCCAGAUUUCGACAGCCAGACGCUGGCUGUGCUGCGGGGCCGCAUGGUGCGCUACCUCAUGCGCUCCCGCGAGAUCACGCUGGGCAGAGCCACGAAGGACAAUCAGAUCGACGUGGACCUGGCGCUGGAGGGGCCGGCCUGGAAGAUCUCGCGCAAGCAGGGCGUGAUUAAGCUGAAGAACAACGGGGAUUUCUUCAUUGCUAACGAGGGCCGGCGCCCCAUCUACAUUGACGGGCGCCCCGUGCUCGGCGGCAACAAGUGGAAGCUCAACAACAACUCGGUGGUGGAGAUCGCCAGCCUCCGCUUCGUGUUCCUCAUCAACCAGGACCUCAUCGCCCUCAUCAAGGCGGAGGCGGCCAAGCUGGCGCAGCAGUGACCCAGGGACAAGGGGGGGUCCCCAUGGGGACCCCCAGCUCCUCCAGGUGCCCCCCCAGCUCCUCAGUGCUCGUUCUGGGCAAAUGGGGCAGAGUGGAGCACAAUUCCUGAAUUUUUAAAAGCUCCAUGUUUGGGUUUGAUUUAAUUAAUUUGUUCAAUUGAUUCAGGAAAAGUUUAAUUAGAGAGGGAAAGAAAAAAUAACCCCCGUGGGAAAAAAGUUGGGAGGGCAGCGCCGGCCCCCCCUUGAAUUGUGAGCGUGGCCCCCCCUGCUCCUUCAUCGCUGGAAGGGAAGGGGGAGGAGGACGAGCGGGGCUGCAGGGAACGGAACAAAACAAUAUGAAGAGAUUUUGAAUAAAAUAAAGAGACUCCCAGGAAAAUAAA
RNA transcript from Columba livia (rock pigeon), 1927 nucleotides. It is a transcript of the gene named microspherule protein 1, with no coding region annotated. The transcript is spliced from 14 exons. The record is from RefSeq and is a predicted model, not a curated record. NCBI's taxonomy places the organism in Eukaryota, Metazoa, Chordata, Aves, Columbiformes, Columbidae.